GGCUCUAUAGCUUAGUUGGUUAAAGCGCCUGUCUCGUAAACAGGAGAUCCUGGGUUCGACUCCCAGUAGGGCCU
RNAcentral lists this transfer RNA (74 nucleotides) under Carlito syrichta (Philippine tarsier). RNAcentral describes it as "tRNA-Thr (CGT) (tRNA-Thr-CGT-1-1)". It matches the Rfam family "tRNA". Rfam says of the family: Transfer RNA (tRNA) molecules are approximately 80 nucleotides in length. Their secondary structure includes four short double-helical elements and three loops (D, anti-codon, and T loops). Lineage: Eukaryota; Metazoa; Chordata; Mammalia; Primates; Tarsiidae. The record is from Rfam by way of RNAcentral.